GAUGAACGCUAGCGGAAGGCUUAAUACAUGCAAGUCGAGCGGUAGGUGGCUUCGGCCAUUGAGAGCGGCGCACGGGUGAGUAACGCGUACAUGACCUGCCUGUCAGAAGGGGAUAGCCCUGGGAAACUGGGAUUAAUACCCUAUGGUAUUGAUAUUAUGAAUGAUAUCAAUUAAAGUUGAGGCGCUGACAGAUGGAUGUGCGUCUGAUUAGCUAGUUGGUAGGGUAACGGCCUACCAAGGCGACGAUCAGUAGGGGGCGUGAGAGCGUGGUCCCCCCACACGGGUACUGAGACACGGACCCGACUCCUACGGGAGGCAGCAGUAAGGAAUAUUGGUCAAUGCCCGCAAGGGUGAACCAGCCAUUCCGCGUGGAGGAUGAAGGCCCUAUGGGUUGUAAACUUCUUUUAGAUGGGAAGAAAAUGCUAGAUGUAUCUGGUACUGACGGUACCAUCAGAAUAAGCACCGGCUAAACUCCGUGCCAGCAGCCGCGGUAA
This 494-nucleotide ribosomal RNA is filed under the name uncultured bacterium. Its description in RNAcentral is "bacterial SSU rRNA". It matches the Rfam family "Bacterial small subunit ribosomal RNA", at positions 28 to 523 of the family's 1533-position model. The record is from RNAcentral.